Molecule: ribosomal RNA, 253 nt
Filed under: uncultured bacterium
Lineage: Bacteria
Description: partial 16S ribosomal RNA
Rfam family: Bacterial small subunit ribosomal RNA
Source: RNAcentral
UACGUAGGGACCAAGCGUUGUUCGGAUUUACUGGGCGUAAAGGGCGCGUAGGCGGCCUAGCAAGUCACCUGUGAAAUCUCCGGGCUUAACUCGGAACUGCCAAGUGAAACUGCUGGGCUAGAGUGCAGAAGGGGCAAUCGGAAUUCUUGGUGUAGCGGUGAAAUGCGUAGAUAUCAGGAGGAACACCGGUGGCGAAGGCGGGUCUCUGGGCCGAUACUGACGCUGAGGAGGGAAAGCGUGGGGAGCGAACAGG